UUGCACGCUGGCGGCAUGCCUUACACAUGCAAGUCGAACGGCAGCACGGGUGCUUGCACCUGGUGGCGAGUGGCGAACGGGUGAGUAAUACAUCGGAACAUGUCCUGUAGUGGGGGAUAGCCCGGCGAAAGCCGGAUUAAUACCGCAUACGAUCUACGGAUGAAAGCGGGGGACCUUCGGGCCUCGCGCUAUAGGGUUGGCCGAUGGCUGAUUAGCUAGUUGGUGGGGUAAAGGCCUACCAAGGCGACGAUCAGUAGCUGGUCUGAGAGGACGACCAGCCACACUGGGACUGAGAAACGGCCCAGACUCCUACGGGAGGCAGCAGUGGGGAAUUUUGGACAAUGGGCGAAAGCCUGAUCCAGCAAUGCCGCGUGUGUGAAGAAGGCCUUCGGGUUGUAAAGCACUUUUGUCCGGAAAGAAAUCCUUGGCCCUAAUACGGUCGGGGGAUGACGGUACCGGAAGAAUAAGCACCGGCUAACUACGUG
RNAcentral lists this ribosomal RNA (485 nucleotides) under uncultured bacterium. RNAcentral describes it as "partial 16S ribosomal RNA". It matches the Rfam family "Bacterial small subunit ribosomal RNA", at positions 30 to 507 of the family's 1533-position model. The record is from RNAcentral.